UGCAAACAUACGUGGCAAUUGGUGUGUAA
Molecule: non-coding RNA, 29 nt
Filed under: Rattus norvegicus (Norway rat)
Lineage: Eukaryota; Metazoa; Chordata; Mammalia; Rodentia; Muridae
Source: RNAcentral